GGUCCUUACACACCGGCGAAUGUGCGGAGCGAAGCGAAAAAGCGAGACGAAAAUUGCGAAUAUUCACCGGUCCGAAAAAUCGCUUUCGCCUAUACACACCGGCCGCGAAGCGAAUAUGCGUAUAUUUUUUGCAAAGCGAAUUAAUAAAGUCGCUUUGCGGCACGGAGGAGAGGAGAUGCGGGGUGGUCCUGUACCGCAAUGACCAGCCUCUCUCCCAUCGUUGCUCUUGGUGCCAGUGGUGGUGUGUGUCGUGUGAAUGGCUGCUGAUUGACAUGUCUAGCAUUAUGAGUGAGGGAGAAAGAGGAGGAAAAGCUGAGAGAGACACCGCAGCAGCCAGGAGAGGCGAGUGCUGAGCAGUGAUCCUUCGAGUUGUCUGGUCAUUCUGUUGGCCCUGUAGCUGCAGAUCAUCGGUAUGUCAAACAGCUGAGAGGGAGAAUCAGGCAUGAUGAGGCGGUCACCCUGUGAAGUGUGCAUGACAUCUGUCUCUAAGGAAGACAAGAGAGUGUCAUCUUGUGAGGAAACUACUUCAUUAGUAAUUAGAAAGAGUUUUGGAUGCACCUCAGCUGUCUUUCUCUGCGUUUUCAUAAUCUCAAACUUCUCCCUCUCCUCCAGCCGUAUGGGUCUGUGACGUCAUCAACAACAUGACUUUUGAUUGGCCAGAGGUCUAGCAGGUCCAGAUAUUCGCCUGCGAAUAUCCGAAAAAUUCGACACAGGAGCGAAAAAAUAAAAGCGGCUUUUCGCCCCGCGGAAAAAUCGCCGCCGGUGUGGAAGCUUGCAUUGACUUUAUGCUGUUUUAAAAAAAGGCGAAUAAUUCGCCUGGCGAAUUCUCGCCCGGUGUGUAAGGA
Xyrichtys novacula (pearly razorfish) is the source of this 845-nucleotide non-coding RNA. NCBI's taxonomy places the organism in Eukaryota, Metazoa, Chordata, Actinopteri, Labriformes, Labridae. The record is from the annotation of a GenBank genome assembly.